CAAACACAACUAUGUGGUAUGAGCCGCUUGGUGGUGAUAUAUCAUUAUGGUAACUAUGAGACAGUAAAGCACCAGAAACAAGAAAGCUGACCACUUUAAACAUCUGAAUUUAUCUACAACCCCACUGAGAGCAGCUACUUACAAAAUUCAUGCCAAUAAAGCUACUUUGAAUCUUGAGAGAGAAAGAAUGGGGCUGAGAGAGAGAGAGAGAGAGAGAGAGAGAGAGAGAGAGAGUUCUAAACAACAGCAAGAAAUAUGAGCUCCUGAAAUUUUAAGCUUUUUUGUUGAUUUUUUGGACAUAUACGACGGUUAGCAGUAAUCUAAACUCUAGCUGAAUAUAUCAGGCACAUUUAGAGCAAUUUUUGGAUCCAUCAACUAAAAAGAAAAAGAAGAAAUACAACUAACAAGUUUUACCUAUCAACUCAGGCCCACUCAGUCAAAUCAAAACAACAGAGACUGACUAACAGACAGAGGAAAAAAGUGGAGAAAUCUGGAAAAAAACAAGAAAAUCACAGGAAAACAACAACCAAUCAACAAACCAGGCUGAGUUGGCUAAUAAGAAAGGGGCAGUGAAAGCUGGAGAAGCAGAAGCGAGAUGAGAGGAAACCAAACCGAGACAAACUCAGCAAGGACGUCAGGGAUCGUUGUUUGGAUAAAUAACAGCAUUGAUAAGCUAAGUUGUUUGCUAGCGGGUGGAACAGCGACCACGUUGCUUAUUUUGCACAGAGAGUGUUUAGUCUGAGUCUAUUUACAAGUACAAAUAAAGUACAUAUGAUGAAAUUUGACACAACUGUACUUGAUUACUGUCCUGCUUUGCACACACUCUUAAAAACAAUGGUUCUUUAG
Long non-coding RNA from Trichomycterus rosablanca, 846 nucleotides. RefSeq lists it as uncharacterized. The transcript has 3 exons. NCBI's taxonomy places the organism in Eukaryota, Metazoa, Chordata, Actinopteri, Siluriformes, Trichomycteridae. The record is from RefSeq and is a predicted model, not a curated record.